UGCCAGCANHMGCGGUUACACAGUUGCCUAAAGUUUAGUUAAUAGGUAAUAUGGUUAAUUGUAUAUAUAGAAGGAUAAUUAAUAGAAUUUUAGUGGUGUAAUACGUAAACUCUCUUUUUAUCUUUACCUUCUUAUUAUUGAACCCAUGAAAGUUAAUAGUGGAACUAGGAUUAGAUACCCUACUACCAUUAAGUUUAAAUAGAGAAUACCAGGGUAUUACGGAUUAUCUGUUUAAAACCUAAAGAGCUUGGCGGUUCUUCAGUACAACCAGGGGAGCCUGUCGUGUAAUCGAUAAUCCUCGUCACUUUUCACCUUUUUUUGAUUUUCAAUUAUAAUUUCAGCUUGUAUACCCCCGUCUGCAGUUUACCCUAAUAAAGGAACUUUAGUAAGCAUCAAGGAAUAAAUCUCCCUGACGUCAGGCCAAGGUGCAGCUUAUAGAAAGGAAUUAGAUGUGCUACCUUACUACCUUAUAUUGGUUAAUAGUUCAAUUUGAUGAAAAUCUAUUGUUAAAUAGUACUUGGCAGUAAUGAAAGUUUAGAAUGCUUUCAUGAAUUAUACUUGAAGAGUGCACAAAUCGCCCGUCAAUCCCGCCACUUUAGGGGGGAAAAGUCGUAACCAGUA
Molecule: ribosomal RNA, 621 nt
Filed under: Scruparia chelata
Lineage: Eukaryota; Metazoa; Bryozoa; Gymnolaemata; Cheilostomatida; Scrupariidae
Description: partial 12S ribosomal RNA
Source: RNAcentral